GAUGAACGCUGGCGGCGUGCCUAAUACAUGCAAGUCGAGCGAACAGACGAGGAGCUUGCUCCUCUGACGUUAGCGGCGGACGGGUGAGUAACACGUGGAUAACCUACCUAUAAGACUGGGAUAACUUCGGGAAACCGGAGCUAAUACCGGAUAAUAUAUUGAACCGCAUGGUUCAAUAGUGAAAGACGGUUUUGCUGUCACUUAUAGAUGGAUCCGCGCCGCAUUAGCUAGUUGUUAAGGUAACGGCUUACCAAGGCGACGAUGCGUAGCCGACCUGAGAGGGUGAUCGGCCACACUGGAACUGAGACACGGUCCAGACUCCUACGGGAGGCAGCAGUAGGGAAUCUUCCGCAAUGGGCGAAAGCCUUACGGAGCAACGCCGCGUGAGUGAUGAAGGUCUUCGGAUCGUAAAACUCUGUUAUUAGGGAAGAACAAAUGUGUAAGUAACUAUGCACGUCUUGACGGUACCUAAUCAGAAAGCCACGGCUAACUACGUG
RNAcentral lists this ribosomal RNA (497 nucleotides) under uncultured bacterium. RNAcentral's name for it is "partial 16S ribosomal RNA". It matches the Rfam family "Bacterial small subunit ribosomal RNA", at positions 28 to 507 of the family's 1533-position model. The record is from RNAcentral.